CUCACCCGUUAAAUCGCCGCUCGCCGGCGAGGAAGUACGGUUCCUGCAAGGUUAAAACUCAAAUGCAAUGUGACGGGGGCCCGCACAAGCGGUGGAGCAUGUGGUUUAAUUCGAUGCAACGCGAAGAACCUUACCUACUCUUGACAUCCAGAGAACUUAGCAGAGAUGCUUUGGUGCCUUCGGGAACUCUGAGACAGGUGCUGCAUGGCUGUCGUCAGCUCGUGUUGUGAAAUGUUGGGUUAAGUCCCGCAACGAGCGCAACCCUUAUCCUUUGUUGCCAGCGGUUCGGCCGGGAACUCAAAGGAGACUGCCAGUGAUAAACUGGAGGAAGGUGGGGAUGACGUCAAGUCAUCAUGGCCCUUACGAGUAGGGCUACACACGUGCUACAAUGGCGUAUACAAAGAGAAGCGAACCUGCGAGGGCAAGCGGACCUCAUAAAGUACGUCGUAGUCCGGAUUGGAGUCUGCAACUCGACUCCAUGAAGUCGGAAUCGCUAGUAAUCGUAGAUCAGAAUGCUACGGUGAAUACGUUCCCGGGCCUUGUACACACCGCCCGUCACACCAUGGGAGUGGGUUGCAAAAGAAGUAGGUAGCUUAACCUUCGAGAGGGCG
RNAcentral lists this ribosomal RNA (611 nucleotides) under Serratia rubidaea. RNAcentral's name for it is "bacterial SSU rRNA". It matches the Rfam family "Bacterial small subunit ribosomal RNA", at positions 875 to 1452 of the family's 1533-position model. Lineage: Bacteria; Pseudomonadati; Pseudomonadota; Gammaproteobacteria; Enterobacterales; Yersiniaceae. The record is from RNAcentral.